GAUGAAGAACGCAGCGAAAUGCGAUAAGUAGUGUGAAUUGCAGAAUUCAGUGAAUCAUCGAAUCUUUGAACGCACAUUGCGCCCGCCAGUAUUCUGGCGGGCAUGCCUGUCUGAGCGUCAUUUCAACCCUCAUGCCCCUAGGGCGUGGUGUUGGGGAUCGGCCAAAGCCCGCGAGGGACGGCCGGCCCCUAAAUCUAGUGGCGGACCCGUCGUGGCCUCCUCUGCGAAGUAGUGAUAUUCCGCAUCGGAGAGCGACGAGCCCCUGCCGUUAAACCCCCAACUUUCCAAGGUUGACCUCAGAUCAGGUAGGAAUACCCGCUGAACUUAAGCAUAUCAAUAAGCGGAGGA
This 348-nucleotide unclassified non-coding RNA is filed under the name soil metagenome. RNAcentral's name for it is "partial contains 5.8S ribosomal RNA, internal transcribed spacer 2, and large subunit ribosomal RNA". The stretch from base 1 to 120 matches the Rfam family "5.8S ribosomal RNA", at positions 35 to 154 of the family's 154-position model. The record is from RNAcentral.